Molecule: ribosomal RNA, 468 nt
Filed under: uncultured bacterium
Lineage: Bacteria
Description: partial 16S ribosomal RNA
Rfam family: Bacterial small subunit ribosomal RNA
Source: RNAcentral
GACGAGCGCUGGCGGCGUGCUUAACACAUGCAAGUCGAACGGAAAGGCUCCAGCUUGCUGGAGUACUCGAGUGGCGAACGGGUGAGUAACACGUGGGUGAUCUGCCCUGCACUUCGGGAUAAGCCUGGGAAACUGGGUCUAAUACCGGAUAGGACCGCACUUUGGUGUGUGUGGUGGAAAGGUUUUUCUGGUGUGGGAUGAGCUCGCGGCCUAUCAGUUUGUUGGUGGGGUAAUGGCCUACCAAGACGGCGACGGGUAGCCGGCCUGAGAGGGUGGACGGUCACAUUGGGACUGAGAUACGGCCCAGACUCCUACGGGAGGCAGCAGUGGGGAAUAUUGCACAAUGGGGGAAACCCUGAUGCAGCGACGCCGCGUGGGGGAUGAAGGCCUUCGGGUUGUAAACUCCUUUCGCUAGGGACGAAGCUUUUUGUGACGGUACCUGGAGAAGAAGCACCGGCUAACUACGUG